Non-coding RNA from Paramuricea clavata, 748 nucleotides. Lineage: Eukaryota; Metazoa; Cnidaria; Anthozoa; Malacalcyonacea; Plexauridae. The record is from the annotation of a GenBank genome assembly.
CUGCGAUAGUUAUCGGGCAAAGAAUAUGGUAUUGCAAACUGGGAUUUUUUCUUAUAACUUAUAUAUCUUAUCAGUAAUUUUCUGCCGUCUAAGAAUAUGUCUAAGAGGACUUCAUGCACAUUCCACUCUACCAAACAGAUCUAAAUGACUAAAAUAUAUUGAUAGUAUAGAAUUCCCACAUAUAAUGCGUCAUAUAGAUUAUAGCUAGACAAUUUAGUUUUGAAGUAAAGACCCCUUGGCCUUGUACACCAUCGCAUUGGCCAAUCAUACAACACCAAGUGUCUCGAACUGUCGCAUGAGGGGGUAUGGAAAUACGUAUUUUCUUUAAAAGGUACGAGGGAGUCGUGCGGUUUGUACAAAGGGCCGUGGGUUCAUUGUGGAUCGUAAUCGCCAUAGUUAAUCACCGAGCAAUUAAAUCGUGAAGUGCAUUUCUAUAAACAUAUCGCUCACACUACCGAAUGAGCACAGUUGCAACAACACUGUCCACUAGUGAAGAGCUCAAGCCGGAACACCUUACAGGAACUUAGAAGAGAUUUGCUGGCACCAUCCUGAUAUAUAUCACAGAAAAAUAUGGCUGGGAAAUUUUUACAAAUUUGGUCACUGAGAAGUGUCGCAAAGACCAUGGCUAUGUUAGUCAUUGUAAGUAUAUAUAGCAUUUAUAGCAGUUGACUAGGUCUAUAUCACAUUGAAUUUUGUGCCUGAUUUUUUACCGAUUAUUUAUUUCAUGGCUUUUUCAUGUGGAAAGCAU